This 84-nucleotide transfer RNA is filed under the name Candidatus Magasanikiibacteriota bacterium. Its description in RNAcentral is "tRNA-Leu". It matches the Rfam family "tRNA". From Rfam's summary of the family: Transfer RNA (tRNA) molecules are approximately 80 nucleotides in length. The record is from RNAcentral. RNAcentral also lists the same sequence under 1 other name. Lineage: Bacteria; Candidatus Magasanikiibacteriota.
GCCGUAGUGGCGGAAUUGGUAGACGCACUAGCUUCAGGUGCUAGCGAUCGUAAGGUCAUAAGAGUUCAAAUCUCUUCUACGGCA